UACGAAGGGGACUAGCGUUGUUCGGAAUUACUGGGCGUAAAGCGUGCGUAGGCGGUUUGUUAAGUCUGAUGUGAAAGCCCUGGGCUCAACCUGGGAAUGGCAUUGGAUACUGGCAACCUAGAAUGUGGUAGAGGGUGGCGGAAUUCCCGGUGUAGCAGUGAAAUGCGUAGAUAUCGGGAGGAACAUCCGUGGCGAAGGCGGCCACCUGGACCAACAUUGACGCUGAGGCACGAAAGCGUGGGGAGCAAACAGG
This 253-nucleotide ribosomal RNA is filed under the name uncultured bacterium. RNAcentral's name for it is "partial 16S ribosomal RNA". It matches the Rfam family "Bacterial small subunit ribosomal RNA", at positions 524 to 776 of the family's 1533-position model. The record is from RNAcentral.